GAUGAACGCUGGCGGCGUGCCUAAUACAUGCGAGUCGAGCGAACAGAUAAGGAGCUUGCUCCUUUGACGUUAGCGGCGGACGGGUGAGUAACACGUGGGUAACCUACCUAUAAGACUGGAAUAACUCCGGGAAACCGGGGCUAAUGCCGGAUAACAUUUAGAACCGCAUGGUUCUAAAGUGAAAGAUGGUUUUGCUAUCACUUAUAGAUGGACCCGCGCCGUAUUAGCUAGUUGGUAAGGUAACGGCUUACCAAGGCAACGAUACGUAGCCGACCUGAGAGGGUGAUCGGCCACACUGGAACGGAGACACGGUCCAGACUCCAACGGGAGGCAGCAGUAGGGAAUCUUCCGCAAUGGGCGAAAGCCUGAAGGAGCAGCGCAGCGUGAGUGAUGAAGGUCUUCGGAUCGUAAAACUCUGUUAGUAGGGAAGAACAAAUGUGUAAGUAACUGUGCACGUCUUGACGGUACCUAAUCAGAAAGCCACGGCUAACUACGUG
This 497-nucleotide ribosomal RNA is filed under the name uncultured bacterium. RNAcentral's name for it is "partial 16S ribosomal RNA". It matches the Rfam family "Bacterial small subunit ribosomal RNA", at positions 28 to 507 of the family's 1533-position model. The record is from RNAcentral.